Molecule: ribosomal RNA, 301 nt
Filed under: uncultured bacterium
Lineage: Bacteria
Description: partial 16S ribosomal RNA
Rfam family: Bacterial small subunit ribosomal RNA
Source: RNAcentral
CAGCCGCCACGGUAAUACGAAGGGUGCAAGCGUUAAUCGGAAUUACUGGGCGUAAAGCGUGCGUAGGCGGUUUGUUAAGUCUGUUGUGAAAUCCCCGGGCUCAACCUGGGAAUGGCAAUGGAUACUGGCAAGCUAGAGUGUGUCAGAGGAUGGUGGAAUUCCCGGUGUAGCGGUGAAAUGCGUAGAGAUCGGGAGGAACAUCAGUGGCGAAGGCGGCCAUCUGGGACAACACUGACGCUGAGGCGCGAAAGCGUGGGGAGCAAACCGGAUUAGAUACCCCUGUAGUCCCUGUCUCUUAUAC